AUUGAACGCUGGCGGCAUGCUUUACACAUGCAAGUCGAACGGUAACAGGCCUUCGGGUGCUGACGAGUGGCGAACGGGUGAGUAAUGCAUCGGAACGUACCCAGAGGUGGGGGAUAACGCAGCGAAAGCUGUGCUAAUACUGCAUGUGAUCUGAGGAUGAAAGCGGGGGACCGAGCAGCAAUGUUUGGCCUCGCGCCUUUGGAGCGGCCGAUGUCGGAUUAGCUAGUUGGUGGGGUAAAGGCCUACCAAGGCGACGAUCCGUAGCUGGUCUGAGAGGACGAACCACCCCACUGGGAAAAGACACCCGCCCCGACCCCCGGGGGGGGCCGGCGGGGGGAAUUUUGGAACAAGGGGCGCAGGCUUGCUCCAGCAAUGCGGCGUGCGGAAAGAAGGCCUUGGUGUUGAAACCCGUUUGGGGCGGAACGGAACGGGUCCCCGCAAAUCCCGGCCGAUAAGGCGGGUCCCUAAAAAAAAGACCCCGACUAACUAGGUC
RNAcentral lists this ribosomal RNA (493 nucleotides) under uncultured bacterium. RNAcentral describes it as "partial 16S ribosomal RNA". It matches the Rfam family "Bacterial small subunit ribosomal RNA", at positions 29 to 507 of the family's 1533-position model. The record is from RNAcentral.